GCGGCGUGCCUAAUACAUGCAAGUCGAACGCUUCUUUUCCCACCGGAGCUUGCUCCACCGGGAAAAGAGGAGUGGCGAACGGGUGAGUAACACGUGGGUAACCUGCCCAUCAGAAGGGGAUAACACUUGGAAACAGGUGCUAAUACCGUAUAACAAUCGAAACCGCAUGGUUUCGUUUUGAAAGGCGCUUUACGGUGCCGCUGAUGGAUGGACCCGCGGUGCAUUAGCUAGUUGGUGAGGUAACGGCUCACCAAGGCCACGAUGCAUAGCCGACCUGAGAGGGUGAUCGGCCACAUUGGGACUGAGACACGGCCCAAACUCCUACGGGAGGCAGCAGUAGGGAAUCUUCGGCAAUGGACGAAAGUCUGACCGAGCAACGCCGCGUGAGUGAAGAAGGUUUUCGGAUCGUAAAACUCUGUUGUUAGAGAAGAACAAGGGUGAGAGUAACUGUUCACCCCUUGACGGUAUCUAACCAGAAAGCCACGGCUAACUACGUGCCAGCAGCCGCGGUAAUACGUAGGUGGCAAGCGUUGUCCGGAUUUAUUGGGCGUAAAGCGAGCGCAGGCGGUUUCUUAAGUCUGAUGUGAAAGCCCCCGGCUCAACCGGGGAGGGUCAUUGGAAACUGGGAGACUUGAGUGCAGAAGAGGAGAGUGGAAUUCCAUGUGUAGCGGUGAAAUGCGUAGAUAUAUGGAGGAACACCAGUGGCGAAGGCGGCUCUCUGGUCUGUAACUGACGCUGAGGCUCGAAAGCGUGGGGAGCAAACAGGAUUAGAUACCCUGGUAGUCCACGCCGUAAACGAUGAGUGCUAAGUGUUGGAGGGUUUCCGCCCUUCAGUGCUGCAGCUAACGCAUUAAGCACUCCGCCUGGGGAGUACGACCGCAAGGUUGAAACUCAAAGGAAUUGACGGGGGCCCGCACAAGCGGUGGAGCAUGUGGUUUAAUUCGAAGCAACGCGAAGAACCUUACCAGGUCUUGACAUCCUUUGACCACUCUAGAGAUAGAGCUUCCCCUUCGGGGGCAAAGUGACAGGUGGUGCAUGGUUGUCGUCAGCUCGUGUCGUGAGAUGUUGGGUUAAGUCCCGCAACGAGCGCAACCCUUAUUGUUAGUUGCCAUCAUUUAGUUGGGCACUCUAGCAAGACUGCCGGUGACAAACCGGAGGAAGGUGGGGAUGACGUCAAAUCAUCAUGCCCCUUAUGACCUGGGCUACACACGUGCUACAAUGGGAAGUACAACGAGUCGCGAAGUCGCGAGGCUAAGCUAAUCUCUUAAAGCUUCUCUCAGUUCGGAUUGUAGGCUGCAACUCGCCUACAUGAAGCCGGAAUCGCUAGUAAUCGCGGAUCAGCACGCCGCGGUGAAUACGUUCCCGGGCCUUGUACACACCGCCCGUCACACCACGAGAGUUUGUAACACCCGAAGUCGGUGAGGUAACCUUUUUGGAGCCAGCCGCCUAAGGUGG
Molecule: ribosomal RNA, 1455 nt
Filed under: Enterococcus sp. A20
Lineage: Bacteria; Bacillati; Bacillota; Bacilli; Lactobacillales; Enterococcaceae
Description: 16S ribosomal RNA
Rfam family: Bacterial small subunit ribosomal RNA
Source: RNAcentral